This 404-nucleotide ribosomal RNA is filed under the name uncultured bacterium. RNAcentral describes it as "bacterial SSU rRNA". It matches the Rfam family "Bacterial small subunit ribosomal RNA", at positions 917 to 1344 of the family's 1533-position model. The record is from RNAcentral.
GGGCCCGCACAAGCGGUGGAGCAUGUGGUUUAAUUCGAUGAUACGCGAGGAACCUUACCAGGGCUUAAAUGUAGUAUGACCGGUCUAGAAAUAGGCCUUCCCUUCGGGGCAGAUUACAAGGUGCUGCAUGGUUGUCGUCAGCUCGUGCCGUGAGGUGUUAGGUUAAGUCCUGCAACGAGCGCAACCCCUAUUCUUAGUUGCCAGCGGUUCGGCCGGGGACUCUAAGAAGACUGCCAGCGCAAGCUGAGAGGAAGGUGGGGAUGACGUCAAGUCCUCAUGGCCCUUACGGGUUGGGCUACACACGUGCUACAAUGGUAGUGACAAUGGGUUAAUCCCAAAAAGCUAUCUCAGUUCGGAUUGGGGUCUGCAACUCGACCCCAUGAAGUCGGAAUCGCUAGUAAUCG